CAGCAGCCGCGGUAAGACAGAGGAUGCAAGCGUUAUCCGGAAUUAUUGGGCGUAAAGCGUACGUAGGCGGUUUUGUAAGUUAGAGGUGAAAGCCCGGAGCUCAACUCCGGAAUUGCCUUUAAGACUGCAUCACUUGAACGUCGGAGAGGUGAGUGGAAUUCCGAGUGUAGAGGUGAAAUUCGUAGAUAUUCGGAAGAACACCAGUGGCGAAGGCGGCUCACUGGACGACUGUUGACGCUGAGGUACGAAAGCGUGGGGAGCAAACAGGAUUAGAUACCCGCGUAGUCCCUGUCUCUUAUAU
Molecule: ribosomal RNA, 301 nt
Filed under: uncultured bacterium
Lineage: Bacteria
Description: partial 16S ribosomal RNA
Rfam family: Bacterial small subunit ribosomal RNA
Source: RNAcentral